Molecule: ribosomal RNA, 449 nt
Filed under: Bulimina sp.
Lineage: Eukaryota; Foraminifera; Rotaliida; Buliminidae
Description: SSU rRNA
Rfam family: Eukaryotic small subunit ribosomal RNA
Source: RNAcentral
GAGCAUGUGGCUUAAUUUGACUCAACGCGGGAAAUCUUACCGGGUCCGGACACACUGAGGAUUGACAGGCAAUAUUAGCACUUAGCUUCGGCGACGUGUUAUGUUAAAUAUGCUAGUCCUUUCAUGAUUAUGUGAUAGGUGGUGCAUGGCCGUUCUUAGUUCGUGGAGUGAUCUGUCUGCUUAAUUGCGUUUCACCAAGGGCCUAUAAUUUUACGUGUGUUGCGGCACUUUGACCCCUCUUUUUUUAAAGAGCGCGUGUCUUGGUUUGCUUAGCUCGCACAAUUAGGUCCUGAAAGCAACGAACGUGACCGCAACCUCUUGUUGCCUUUAUACCAAACGUGCAUAUGUAAUUUUUUUAAUUGCUUUGCGCGCAAAAAGGCUUUUAAACUAGAGGGACCGCUGUUACUUUCUUAAACCAGAGGAAGGUUGCGGCAAUAACAGGUCUGUGA